UACGUAGGGCGCAAGCGUUUGUCCGGAAUUAUUGGGCGUAAAGAGCUCGUAGGCGGCCAGUUGCGUCCGCUGUGAAAUCCCGGGGCUUAACCCCGGGCGUGCAGUGGAUACGGGCAGACUAGAGGUAUGCAGGGGAGAACGGAAUUCCUGGUGUAGCGGUGAAAUGCGCAGAUAUCAGGAGGAACACCGAUGGCGAAGGCAGGUCUCGUGGGCCACUACUGACGCUGAGAAGCGAAAGCAUGGGGAGCGAACAGG
RNAcentral lists this ribosomal RNA (255 nucleotides) under uncultured bacterium. RNAcentral's name for it is "partial 16S ribosomal RNA". It matches the Rfam family "Bacterial small subunit ribosomal RNA", at positions 524 to 776 of the family's 1533-position model. The record is from RNAcentral.